Carassius auratus (goldfish) is the source of this 551-nucleotide long non-coding RNA. RefSeq lists it as uncharacterized. The record is from RefSeq and is a predicted model, not a curated record. NCBI's taxonomy places the organism in Eukaryota, Metazoa, Chordata, Actinopteri, Cypriniformes, Cyprinidae. The transcript is spliced from 5 exons.
GCUGCUGACAGAGAGGAUGAAAACACACACAUUUUGAUGUCCACGCUGUAGGAGCAUUACUAAAUAAUGCUUAUGUUCCUAGGUUCUUCCAUGCUGAUGGCUGCGCUCUAGUCAUAUCUCCUGUCGAAGAACAUUUUUAGACAUUAUGAACCAUGAAUAAGUUUAGCUCCAACCCCAGUUAAGCAGACCUGAGCAGCUGAUCAAGGAUCAGCAGAAACUCUGCAGAACAUUGGUCCUUCAGCCCAGGACUGGACACCAGUGUUAGUGUCUGUCUCAGAAGCUGAAGAAAAAAGGCCACACCUUAUAGGAAAUAAACGCCUCCUAAGUGUACGGAAAUACCUGGCUGAGGAGAUCAGUGACAUAAACCAGAUAAAACUGUCAGUGGUCUGAGACAGCUACAAGCCACAAAAACAGUUCAUAGUUCCUGCAUUUCUAUUAAUGCAUUAAUGAAUAACAAUAAUUAAAAUAAAAUGUAAUGUCAAGGUUUUGUGUUAAUUCCAGCUAUGUUGAGUAUUCUGUGAAUAAUUUAGAUUUUAGGUGCAUAUUCUUAA